UUUGAUUCACCCCCAUCAAAUAUAUAUAUAUGCAUGUCUGGCGGUGCCCUUCUUUGUAGAUGCUAUAGCUCCUUAUAUGCCAUGGUAACAUGCAUGGGCCUUUAUUUAGCGCAUGUAAAGCUAGCUAAGCUACGCACCUGGCCAUGUGCAGUGUCUUCCAAGUAUAGCUAGCACCGUCCCCUCUGCCUGUUCGAUCGGUAAGCCUGAAAUCAGUUAUUUGCAGUGGCUCUGUCCAUCACGCAUUCCUAUCUCUAUCAGAAAAUGUUCGUUUUUGUUCGAUCGAUUCUCCCCUACAAAAAACAAAAAAAAACCACUUGCUUAUUGUCCACACUACUGCGACACACUGUCGAGAUAGGAAGUGGCGGCUGGACGGAGCGAUAAGAAGGAAGGACAAGGACGAGAAGAAAUCCCAGCGGGAUGGAUGAUGGAGCUGUCACAGGAAGCGAUUGGUAGCUAGGACUCUGGAUAAGGAAAUUGCGUGAGGCAGGCUGCUGCUACCGUGGCUGAUGCAGUUGCACGGACAUGUGCGUGCUGUAUUAAAAAUUGCUGCAGUCAUUGAAUCAUGUGGCAGAGAACCUGCGGAUUAUUUGGAUAUAUAGGAGGCAUCUGACGCGUUGAAAUUUGUCGUCAGAGCAAGUCUAAUAAAGCAGAGCAUAAUAUAUUGAGAUUAGAUCAUCGCCGAUCUUUUGUCAAUAUUGUAUUGAG
RNAcentral lists this long non-coding RNA (705 nucleotides) under Zea mays. RNAcentral describes it as "long non-coding RNA (ZMAY_LNC005460)". The record is from RNAcentral. Lineage: Eukaryota; Viridiplantae; Streptophyta; Magnoliopsida; Poales; Poaceae.